CGCAUCUGUGCAUGCAGCAUAUCAAUAAGCGGAGGAAAAGGCUGCUGAACUGAACGACCGCUACCUACGCUUAGGAUGUUGACACACGCGCGUGCUCGAUCUAUACAUGACUCUGCGCAUAUCAAUAAGCGGAGGAAAAGGCUGCGGAACUGAACGACCGCUACCUACGCUUAGGAUGUUGACACACGCGCGUGCUCGACUCUAUACAUGACUCUGUGCAUAUCAAUAAGCGGAGGAAAAGAAACUAACAAGGAUUCCCUUAGUAACGGCGAGUGGAAGCGGGAAGAGCUCAAAUUUGAAAUCUUCAAGGUUUUACCUUGACGAAUUGUAGUUUAAAGAAGUGUUUUCUGUUGAAGUUUUGGUAAAAGUUCUUUGGAAUAGGACAUCAUAGAGGGUGAGAAUCCCGUAUUUGACCAUUAUUUUCAGCUGUGUGAUACACUUUCAAAGAGUCGGAUUGUUUGGGAAUGCAGUCCAAAAUGGGUGGUAAGUUUCAUCUAAAGCUAAAUAUUGGCGAGAGACCGAUAGCGAACAAGUACCGUGAGGGAAAGAUGAAAAGAACUUUGAAAAGAGAGUUAAACAGUACGUGAAAUUGUCAAAAGGGAGGCGUUUGACACCAGUGUUGUUUUCUCGAAAAUCAAUUAAAAGAGUUAGAUUUUGUUGUGUAUUGACCUUAACAGCUUGCAUUUCAAUUUUCUUGCUUUUUUUAAUGCACUUUUCGUUUAACGAGUCAACAUCAGUUUCUUUUGUUGUAAAAAGGUCAUUGGAAGGUGGCUUUCUUUUCGGAGAAAGUGUUUAUAGCCUUUGACUCCUGCAAUCGGAGAGACUGAGGUCUGCAGCGUAGAUCCUUCGGGGUUAGAUACAUUUGUGCUAAGUUAUAGCUUUUUAUAGACAACUUGUUGACUAUGAUUAGUCUUGUAGCUUACUCGCUUAUGCUAUUUUACCUACGCUUAGGAUGUUGACACACGCGCGUGCUCCG
This 976-nucleotide ribosomal RNA is filed under the name uncultured Neocallimastigales. Its description in RNAcentral is "partial large subunit ribosomal RNA". The stretch from base 180 to 976 matches the Rfam family "Eukaryotic large subunit ribosomal RNA", at positions 1 to 605 of the family's 3401-position model. Lineage: Eukaryota; Fungi; Neocallimastigomycota; Neocallimastigomycetes; Neocallimastigales. The record is from RNAcentral.